AGGACCAGACAGCUGUAAGAAAAAGAAGCCAGCUGUAGAUCCAACACUGGGACCUAUAUUCCUUGUGGGAAAACGCGAAAACAUUUCCAGCUAACGAUUUCUGGGAAGAACAAGCUGCAACAUAACCACAAGAGACAAAUAGCAAGCAAUUGGACAGCUGAUGAACAGCCUCCUGUCAAUCAUCAUCCUAAGUGAGCCAAUUGUUCUGACUGUCUGGUCUUCCAGGAUUGUGAUGUUGCCAUUGCUGGGCACCAGGCCAGCAGGCAGGCUGAGGCUCCUUCUGUGGAAGAGGAACUUGAUUUGCUUGCCAUAGAGAAUUGCCUGCCUUGCCUUGGCCGCACAGCUCAUACGCC
Long non-coding RNA from Mus musculus (house mouse), 353 nucleotides. RefSeq annotates it as predicted gene, 31469. The transcript is spliced from 3 exons. The record is from RefSeq and is a predicted model, not a curated record. Lineage: Eukaryota; Metazoa; Chordata; Mammalia; Rodentia; Muridae.